Molecule: ribosomal RNA, 211 nt
Filed under: uncultured bacterium
Lineage: Bacteria
Description: partial 16S ribosomal RNA
Rfam family: Bacterial small subunit ribosomal RNA
Source: RNAcentral
UACGUAGGGUGCAAGCGUUAAUCGGAAUUACUGGGCGUAAAGCGUGCGCAGGCGGUCUGUCAAGUCGGAUGUGAAAUCCCCGGGCUCAACCUGGGAACUGCAUUUGAAACUGGAAGACUAGAGUAUUGUAGAGGGGGAUGGAAUUCCACGUGUAGCGGUGAAAUGCGUAGAUAUGUGGAGGAACACCGAUGGCGAAGGCAGCCCCCUGGAC